RNAcentral lists this ribosomal RNA (273 nucleotides) under uncultured bacterium. RNAcentral describes it as "partial 16S ribosomal RNA". It matches the Rfam family "Bacterial small subunit ribosomal RNA", at positions 524 to 796 of the family's 1533-position model. The record is from RNAcentral.
UACGGAGGGUGCGAGCGUUAAUCGGAAUUACUGGGCGUAAAGCGUACGCAGGCGGUUAGUUAAGUCAGAUGUGAAAGCCCCGGGCUCAACCUGGGAACUGCAUUUGAAACUGGCUAACUAGAGUGCGGCAGAGGGUGGUAGAAUUUCAGGUGUAGCGGUGAAAUGCGUAGAGAUCUGAAGGAAUACCGAUGGCGAAGGCAGCCACCUGGGCCGACACUGACGCUCAUGUACGAAAGCGUGGGUAGCAAACAGGAUUAGAUACCCCGGUAGUCC